CCUACGGGAGGCAGCAGUGGGGGAUAUUGCACAAUGGGGGGAACCCUGAUGCAGCGACGCCGCGUGGGUGAAGAAGCGCCUCGGCGCGUAAAGCCCUGUCAGCAGGGAAGAAAAUGACGGUACCUGAAGAAGAAGCCCCGGCUAACUACGUGCCAGCAGCCGCGGUAAUACGUAGGGGGCAAGCGUUAGCCGGAUUUACUGGGGGGAAAGGGGGCGCAGACGGCGUUGCAAGCAAGGAGUGAAAGCCCGGGGCCCAACCCCGGGACUGCUCUUGGAACUGCGUGGCUGGAGUGUCGGAGGGGCAGGCGGAAUUCCUGGUGUAGCGGUGAAAUGCGUAGAUAUCAGGAGGAACACCGGUGGCGAAGGCGGCCUGCUGGACUGCAACUGACGUUGAGGCCCGAAAGCGUGGGGAGCAAACAGGAUUAGAUACCCUUGUAGUC
Molecule: ribosomal RNA, 440 nt
Filed under: uncultured bacterium
Lineage: Bacteria
Description: partial 16S ribosomal RNA
Rfam family: Bacterial small subunit ribosomal RNA
Source: RNAcentral